RNAcentral lists this long non-coding RNA (1000 nucleotides) under Triticum aestivum (bread wheat). RNAcentral describes it as "long non-coding RNA (TAES_LNC008681)". The record is from RNAcentral. Lineage: Eukaryota; Viridiplantae; Streptophyta; Magnoliopsida; Poales; Poaceae.
UGCUGAUGGUAGAGAGGAGAUCAAUGGCAAGGGAGGCAAGGGAGAAACUGAGGGUGUGAAUCUGAGUUUAUUCUAGAUGUCUUUUUUUGCUGAUCAACUCCAUCUCAAUCGCCAUCCAUCUUCCUCUAAUUUUUCUUUUGUUUCUGUACAGGUCAAAGAGGGUUUACAACUAAGUAUAAAGCUUCACGAGGACUCAUCUUCUUCGGAUGGAAGAUGAUCAGUUACUGAUAAGUUAUAAAAUUUCUAUAUUUCGGUGAUGGUAUCGACUAGGUGUUCUUUCAGAUUUGCUUCUAUCAUGCGUAUUAAAACACGUUCAGCUUAUGUAGAUGAUGCACGGAUACUGCAGUAAAAGUAAAUACUUUACCUGUAAACUGAACUUUUGAUUUAGUAAUUCUACUUUUGGUCCAACAAUCGAUCAAUUGUUGAGGCUAUACUGAACCAAAAAUUGCUUACUGGGGCAGUACUAUAGUCUCUUGAUUAUGCUCUUAAGUAAAUAUCAUGUCUUCCUCUAAUUAGAAAUUUAGAAAACAAUAGGUUAAUCAGAAGCUUUCUUACAAGAAGAGUGCUCUUCAGAAGCUACUACAUGUAUACGCUCACAUCACAUGCAUGUUUUGUUUUCUUAAUUUUCAGGUGCUUGUGAAUAUCUGCAGAAGUACAGUAGCCUGUAGCUUUGUAGGCGUUGAACUAAAUACCAAUCCAAGUAAGAGCGAAAGGAAGAUAAUAUAGGUUUUGAUCCGCCAAAAGGUCUAUUUAUUCUCAUUUCAGUUAAGACUUACCUCUAAACAUUGCAUGAACUCCUGCACAUAUUGGAUACUUUAUUGAUGCACCUUCUUGCAUUUUAAUUCCAUGUAAGUUGUGUACUCUAUUUAAUAAGUUAUUUGUAUUUUGGCUACAAAUGAUUUUAUUGGAUAUACUGUAGACAUUUUCCGCAAGGACUGUUGCAACUUGCUAGACAUAGGAAAAGAUGGGAGUCAAUCCAAGAUGACAUCAGCAACCAAAG